CUGCUCAGUAAGAGUCAAAAAGUUAUGAAUUACGUGAUGGAAGAUGAAAAGAUUAAUCAAACGUUUUAAAGUACUUUCUAAAAGUUAUCUAGUUUUGUUUUAUUUCACUGGGUGAAAGGCUAAAAUCAAUUCAAAAGUCAGUGUUCCCAAUUCCACUCCACCUACUUGUAGUAGUGCUCCACCGGCUCGUCCCCUCCCUGAGUGGCCGACCGGAGGUGGUCGCCUGCGGGCGGAAGGUGAGUCGAGAGCAGGUAGAGGUAGACGGUUGCGGCCGCCACAGUGGCAGCAAGCCCGGCAAGCGAGCGCAUGUUUCGGCAGACUUGGUGAAGAGACUCCGUUUUCCAAGCUCGAUACGGAUUUUUAAAAAGGAAGGAGGGGAAGAAGUCUCUCUUGGGGGAAGACGAGGCGACGUGUUGCGGUCCAGUUGGACGACACCGAGUCUCCCCGGUGUCUAUUACCCGCCAACACGCGACUCAUGACGGCGAGGGGAUCAGGUGACACCCGGCGAAAGACAACCUGCUCCGGCAAUCGUCAAAUGAGGAAGCCCCUCCCCCUCCUGUGACAUCCUUAUAUCUGAUUGGACGUCUUGGUAGAGCUUCCAGAUUUCUCCAAGCUCCUCGUCCAGAAACAAUACUGACACCAUCAAGGCCAGCGGAGGUGAUUCAUGCGAGCCGACAGACUGGGUGAUUCAUUCCAGUGGAUUACAGGCUGCUGCAGCUCCUGGAAGUUCAAAGGUCACACAUUGACCUGUAGAGGAAACCACAACGACAGACAUAGAAACUGCAGCAGGAGGGAAACCGGAGGUGAUCAGACGCUAACUCUCAGCUUGUCUGUGGGCCGGAAACGUUUAAAACGCUGUUUUAAUGUUUUGACCAUCCAGUAGGCUGGAUAAACGUAUAGAAAUAUUGGAAACAGUGCUCAGCAUGAUGCAAUACAAAUUCAAAAUGCAGCUACAAUCAUAAACAGCAUUAUUAUCUUUAUAAAAGCAGAUCUCAUCCAAUACAGUGAACAGUCAGUGUGUUUAAUGUCAUAACUUUAAUUUGGGAGGCACCUUCAUUCACACACAAAAAUAACUCAUAAAUCCUCUUUAUCAUUGUACUCUUGUGCUUCCAAGACUUCUGGAGCAAAUAAUGGAAAAACACAAUUCAUCAUCAUAAUAAAUACAUACAGCUUAGAGGUAAUGAUGAUGUCCAGUAUGUUGCAGACUCUUGUGGACUUUUGUACUGAUUCUUGAUUCUUCACCAGAAGCAACCUCUGCACAUCCAGCAAGCAUGCAGCAAUGUGCAAGCAGAAAGGAAAUAAAGGGGCUGGGUGUGAAUGACUUAACAGUUUAUCAUCUUUUAAUGUUAUGUACAAUCCAGACAGAUCAAGUCCGGUCGAGUCCUUCAGGAGGUCUUGUCUUCGAAGUAGGUGAGCUCGAUGCGCCUGCAGAAGGAGAGCAGGUUGCUGUAGCUCCUGACCCGCUCGGCCAGCUCGGUGCUGGUCAGCCUGGUGGUCAGGAUGGUGAAGAGGUGGCCAAACACGAGGGCGUCUAGCUCGGUUGGCCUGAAACAUACACACAAUUAAUGUUAGACUUUAUGUUAUGUUAUGUUAGACUUUGCAUGGGAUAAACAAUUAUGAUACAUUAUUUCAAUCGUGGAUUGUAAGCUAUUCAUUGAAUAUUUUUUUUGUGUGCCACAGUUAAGGAGACUCUGCAGUUACAGCCUUCUUCCACAGGGAGGUGCUACAGUGACCAGUUCAUGUUUUCUCCACUUUAUAGUACUGAAAACAAUUUACAGAAAUGAUCAAAAUGUUAAGUACAUCAAAUACUAAAGAGGUUGCGGCCCAGAGAAUACAUACUGUUUAUUGAAAAAGAAAGGCUGCGUUCCAAGCCGCUGAGAGAGAGCCUGGCAGCACUGACUCACGUCCUCGUACACCUGAGGCACACAAAACAAAAGUAUGACCAAAAUAGAUAGGCGCCACAAUAAGCUAAAUUUAGCUUGUUGCUGACCUGCUCCAGGCUUUUUCCUCCCCAGCCGAUGGCGUUCAUCUUCCUGCGGACCUCCCAUUGCUUCUGGUAGGCGAGGACGGUGCUGAGAGGCCACGAGUACGGGCUGCUGUAUCUGGGUCGAGUGAUCUGCACAACACCGCGGUGGUGAACACAUAACAGGAUGUGACCCACCAGAAGCUAGGAUGCUGGGAUCACAAUCAAAGAGCGCCGACUCACCUCAGCGGCAGUGGCGUCGUCACACCACUGGACGUACAGCUGGAAGAGAGACAAGUGUGUGUGUGUAACCCGAGACACCCAACAUGAGAUGAGAACAGCUUUUAACAUUAAUUUUAAGAAAAGUACAAUGCAAAAAUAUUCAUCCAUCUAUUUUCUGUGCUACUUAUCCUCACCUUCCCAGUAUUAUUAGUAUUAUUCUUAAACAGGCAUGAGAUUACACAAUUAACAGCAAAAAAGCCCAAACAAAAUGUCCUUUGUUUACUUUUGCAGAAGUUGGCAACCCUAUCAAUUAAUUUACUGAUUUUAUUUGAUUAUUAUUGAUUUUUUUUUGUUGGUGACAAACUUCUGCUCUACACUUCAGCCCAAUAGCUGACAGUAACAUGCAAAUGAGCUCAUUUACUAACCCAGAUUGACUCCUAAAGAGGAAGAAAGGGGACAAACACGGACUGAUGUGUGUGAAAAGAAAGCGCUAUUGGACUUAAUAGUAUUUGUCAGUAAAACAGUGAAAAUGAGAGGAAAUCUGAAUGUUUACUUUGCAAGUCAGUGUGCGCCCCUACAAUUUAAAGUUAGUGCUCCUAGUAAAAAACAAAGUUCGCCUUGAGCCCUUCAAAUGCAAUGAACGUCAAUCUCGUACUGUAGCUCAGCUUCCCUCGUUUCAUAUUGUUUUUCCACACCUCCAUUAACUGUGUAUGUGUACCUCUGCAGUCAGCAGCAUGUUGUUGACCAACUCCAUGUACGCUUUCAUUUCAGCCCUCUGAAUGUCAUCCAAGCCGUCGCUCAGAGAAUGACCCUAAAACAAAUCGAGGUCAAAAGUGAGCUUCUCAAAUA
Molecule: long non-coding RNA, 3034 nt
Organism: Doryrhamphus excisus (bluestripe pipefish)
Lineage: Eukaryota; Metazoa; Chordata; Actinopteri; Syngnathiformes; Syngnathidae
Source: RefSeq, a predicted model, not a curated record